Molecule: long non-coding RNA, 744 nt
Organism: Venturia canescens
Lineage: Eukaryota; Metazoa; Arthropoda; Insecta; Hymenoptera; Ichneumonidae
Exons: 4
Source: RefSeq, a predicted model, not a curated record
UUGUACGCGAGGAAUACGUGGACGCGUGAGAGGCCUGCUUCAACAGUGCGCAAAGUGCGUGGCAACGUGCGUGCGUGCGUUUCGUGUGAUUUCGCGACGGCCCCAAAGGUCGAAGAAUAAUGCGCAACCAAUUGCCAAUAGCGGGUGGUAUCCGAAUCAAAAUCGAGUGCUACACACCGCGCUGCGCAGACUCGCACAGAGGCUGCUCGAAUCACGCAAUUUGAUAGUGUUUCGGGGUAACCGGAAACGAACAGAGGAGCUUGUUUUUCCAUAAUUAUAUGCAGGAUCAAACUACUUUGCGUUCCGAACGAGACAUAAAAAUUCAGGAUAUUAAUUUGAACGUUUCCGAACAAGAAUAUCGGGGAGAAAAAUUAUUAUCCAAUUUUCAAAUUGGAGUAAAAAAAUCAGGAACGAGUCCACGUUUAAGAAAAAACAUUUUUUUACGAAAAAAAUCAUCACUCUGGAAAUGGUUUAACCAGCUUCCCCGGGCGCUGAUUAUUUCUAAUUCCUAGGGGUCGUUCUGACCCUCGGUGAGCACGGAGGGUCAAUUGCUCGAGAUGUCAACAUGAAAAUUCGAAAAUCAGUGACCAAAAGUCUUUCUCCGUUCCAACAACCUUUUGGCGUUAAUUUUCAACUGGAAGAAUAACCGUUGCCCUUUUGAGGUACCCUCGCGAUGAAUAAACUCAUCGCGCAUUUUGAAAGGGUUGCCGGAGCAUACUUUACAAUAUAAACAUUUGACGUGAG